RNAcentral lists this non-coding RNA (23 nucleotides) under Arabidopsis thaliana (thale cress). The record is from RNAcentral. Lineage: Eukaryota; Viridiplantae; Streptophyta; Magnoliopsida; Brassicales; Brassicaceae.
UUCAUAUGGGUGACACAUCAUCA